GAUGAACGCUGGCGGCGUGCCUAAUACAUGCAAGUCGAGCGAACGGACGAGAAGCUCUCGCCUUUGAUGUUAGCGGCGGGCGGGCGAGUAAGACGUGGAUAACCUACUUAUAAGACUGGGAUAAUUUCGGGAAACCGGAGCUAAUACCGGAUAAUAUUUUGAACCGCAUGGAUCAAAAGUGAAAGACGGUCUUGCUGUCACUUAUAGAUGGAUCCGCGCUGCAUUAGCUAGUUGGUAAGGUAACGGCUUACCAAGGCAACGAUGCAUAGCCGAUCUGAGAGGGUGAUCGGCCACACUGGAACUGAGACACGGUCCAGACUCCUACGGGAGGCAGCAGUAGGGAAUCUUCCGCAAUGGGCGAAAGCCUGACGGAGCAACGCCGCGUGAGUGAUGAAGGUCUUCGGAUCGUAAAACUCUGUUAUUAGGGAAGAACAUAUGUGUAAGUAACUGUGCACGUCUUGACGGUACCUAAUCAGAAAGCCACGGCUAACUACGUG
Molecule: ribosomal RNA, 497 nt
Filed under: uncultured bacterium
Lineage: Bacteria
Description: partial 16S ribosomal RNA
Rfam family: Bacterial small subunit ribosomal RNA
Source: RNAcentral